Molecule: ribosomal RNA, 497 nt
Filed under: uncultured bacterium
Lineage: Bacteria
Description: partial 16S ribosomal RNA
Rfam family: Bacterial small subunit ribosomal RNA
Source: RNAcentral
GAUGAACGCUGGCGGCGUGCCUAAUACAUGCAAGUCGAGCGAACAGACGAGGAGCUUGCUCCUCUGACGUUAGCGGCGGACGGGUGAGUAACACGUGGAUAACCUACCUAUAAGACGGGGAUAACUUCGGGAAACCGGAGCUAAUACCGGAUAAUAUAUUGAACCGCAGGGUUCAAUAGUGAAAGACGGUUUUGCGGUCACGUAUAGAUGGAUCCGCGCCGCAUUAGCUAGUUGGUAAGGUAACGGCUUACCAAGGCAACGAUGCGUAGCCGACCUGAGAGGGUGAUCGGCGACACUGGAACGGGGACACGGACCAGACUCCUACGGGAGGCAGCAGUAGGGAAUGUGACGCAAUGGGCGAAAGCAUGACGGAGUAACGCCGCGUGAGUGAUGAAGGUCUUCGGAGCGUAAAACUCUGUUAUUAGGGAAGAACAGAUGUGGACGGAACUAUGCACGUCGUGACGGUACCUAAUCAGAAAGCCACGGCUAACUACGUG